This 1448-nucleotide ribosomal RNA is filed under the name uncultured prokaryote. Its description in RNAcentral is "partial 16S ribosomal RNA". It matches the Rfam family "Bacterial small subunit ribosomal RNA". The record is from RNAcentral.
GAUGAACGCUAGCGGCAGGCCUAAUACAUGCAAGUCGAGGGGUAAGGUCUACUUCGGUAGAUACACGACCGGCGCACGGGUGCGUAACGCGUAUGCAACCUACCUUUAACAGAGGGAUAGCCCCGAGAAAUCGGGAUUAAUACCACAUAACAUUGCAUAGUGACAUGAUAAAGCAAUUAAAGCUCCGGCGGUUAGAGAUGGGCAUGCGUGACAUUAGCUAGUUGGUGAGGUAACUGCUCACCAAGGCUACGAUGUCUAGGGGUUCUGAGAGGAUGAUCCCCCACACUGGUACUGAGACACGGACCAGACUCCUACGGGAGGCAGCAGUAAGGAAUAUUGCGCAAUGGAGGCAACUCUGACGCAGCCAUGCCGCGUGCAGGAAGAAGGCUUUAUGAGUCGUAAACUGCUUUUAUAUAGGAAUAAACUCUCGUACGUGUACGAGAUUGCAGGUACUAUAAGAAUAAGCACCGGCUAACUCCGUGCCAGCAGCCGCGGUAAUACGGAGGGUGCAAGCGUUAUCCGGAUUCAUUGGGUUUAAAGGGUGCGCAGGCGGUUUAAUAAGUCAGUGGUGAAAUCCCGUAGCUCAACCCCGGCACUGCCAUUGAUACUGUUAGUCUUGAAUAACGGUUGAAAGUAGGCGGAAUGUAGCAUGUAGCGGUGAAAUGCAUAGAGAUGCUACAGAACACCGAUCGCGGAAGGCAGCUCACUAAACUAUUACUGACGCUCAUGGACGAAAGCGUGGGGAGCGAACAGGAUUAGAUACCCUGGUAGUCCACGCCGUAAAACUAUGAUCACUCGUUGUUGGCGAUACACUGUCAGUGACUAAGCGAAAGCGAUAAGUGAUCCACCUGGGGAGUACGAUCGCAAGGUUGAAACUCAAAGGAAUUGACGGGGGCCCGCACAAGCGGUGGAGCAUGUGGUUUAAUUCGAUGAUACGCGAGGAACCUUACCUGGGCUCAAAUGCAAGAUGACAACCCCUGAAAGGGGGCUUUCUUCGGACAUUUUGCAAGGUGCUGCAUGGUUGUCGUCAGCUCGUGCCGUGAGGUGUCGGGUUAAGUCCUAUAACGAGCGCAACCCCUACUCUUAGUUGCCAGCAUGUUAUGAUGGGGACUCUAAGAGAACUGCCUACGCAAGUAGAGAGGAAGGUGGGGAUGACGUCAAAUCAGCACGGCCCUUACGUCCAGGGCUACACACGUGCUACAAUGGCCGGUACAGAGGGCAGCCACCUGGUGACAGGGAGCGAAUCUCCAAAGCCGGUCUCAGUUCGGAUCGAAGUCUGCAACCCGACUUCGUGAAGCUGGAAUCGCUAGUAAUCGCGCAUCAGCCAUGGCGCGGUGAAUACGUUCCCGGGCCUUGUACACACCGCCCGUCAAGCCAUGGAAGCUGGGAGUACCUGAAGUCGGUAACCGUAAAGGAGCCGCCUAGGGUAAAACUAGUAACUGGGGCUA